UACGGAAGGCAGCAGUGGGGAAUAUUGCACAAUGGGCGCAAGCCUGAUGCAGCCAUGCCGCGUGUAUGAAAAAGGCCUUCGGGUUGUAAAGUACUUUCAGUCGUGAGGAAGGUGUUAAGGUUAAUAACCUUAGCAAUUGACGUUAGCGACAGAAGAAGCACCGGCUAACUCCGUGCCAGCAGCCGCGGUAAUACGGAGGGUGCGAGCGUUAAUCGGAAUUACUGGGCGUAAAGGGCACGCAGGCGGUUAAUUAAGUUGGAUGUGAAAUCCCCGGGCUUAACCUGGGAAUGGCAUUCAAGACUGGUUAGCUAGAGUCUUGUAGAGGGGGUAGAAUUCCAUGUGUAGCGGUGAAAUGCGUAGAGAUGUGGAGGAAAUACCGGUGGCGAAAGGCGGCCCCUGGACAAAAGACUGACGCUCAUGUGCGAAAGCGUGGGGAGCAAAACAGGGAUUAGAUACC
Molecule: ribosomal RNA, 457 nt
Filed under: uncultured bacterium
Lineage: Bacteria
Description: bacterial SSU rRNA
Rfam family: Bacterial small subunit ribosomal RNA
Source: RNAcentral